Molecule: long non-coding RNA, 583 nt
Organism: Monomorium pharaonis (pharaoh ant)
Lineage: Eukaryota; Metazoa; Arthropoda; Insecta; Hymenoptera; Formicidae
Exons: 2
Source: RefSeq, a predicted model, not a curated record
AUAAGUUUUAAUAAAUUUUAAUGAAUUUUAUAAAUUCCAAUGAAAUGGGUCAAUUGAAAGAGAUUUUCAAUAAAAUAUUUCCAUCAGAGAAUACAAAAAAAUAUUCCGGCCAAAAGUAAUUGGUACACAAACCAUUAUGAACGUAUCUUAGGACCCUUUGAAAACUAUGAAUUAUCGCAUCAAGUUGAAAAUACGACUUUAUUCACGGGCAAAGAGCAAAUAAGAAGCCAACAGAAAAUUUGCCUUCAAAAACUAAAAAAAGUUCUCUUUUUUGUGAUAAAUUGGACGAGACUACGAGCGAUGAUAGAAAUUAAUGAUUUUUAAUACAUUUAUUUCUUUUAUUAUUACCAUCAGGCCUUUUUUCAUAUUGGAUAAUAAGUUAAUUGUAAGGCCAUAAUUCACGGUCUUGAAUUGGUUAUGUUCUUAUGUUUAUAAUAUUUAAAUUAGAACUUAGAACUGUAUGUAGGACAAUUAUUAAUAAUAAAACUAUAAAUUUCAGAGAAUACAAAACAAAAAAGGCAAGGCGUAUUUCAUCUCCUUCUUGUACAUAUAUGUCUAAUAAACAAAAUAUACUAAAUACAAA